ACGGGUGAGUAACACGUGGCUGACCUACCCUGUAGUGGGGGAUAACCUGCCGAAAGGCGGGCUAAUACCGCAUAGACUCUGAGGGUUUAGAAACCUAAGAGGAAAGCUUUAGUGCUACAGGCAGGGGCUGCGGCCCAUCAGCUAGUUGGUAGGGUAACGGCCUACCAAGGCGGUGACGGGUAGGGGACCUGAGAGGGUGGCCCCCCACACUGGGACUGAGACACGGCCCAGACUCCUACGGGAGGCAGCAGUAAGGAAUAUUGGUCAAUGGGCGCAAGCCUGAACCAGCAACGCCGCGUGGAGGAAGAAGGGUUUCGGCUCGUAAACUCCUUUUAGGUGGGACGAGACAGGACGGUACCACCUGAAUAAGUCUCGGCUAACUACGUGCCAGCAGCCGCGGUAAAACGUAGGAGACGAGCGUUAUCCGGAUUUACUGGGCGUAAAGCGCGUGCAGGCGGUUGAAUAAGUCAUAUGUGAAAGCGCCCGGCUCAACUGGGUGAGGCCAUGUGAGACUGUUCAACUUGAGAGAGGUAGAGGCGAAUGGAAUUCCGGGUGGAGUGGUGAAAUGCGUAGA
This 574-nucleotide ribosomal RNA is filed under the name uncultured bacterium. RNAcentral describes it as "bacterial SSU rRNA". It matches the Rfam family "Bacterial small subunit ribosomal RNA", at positions 102 to 694 of the family's 1533-position model. The record is from RNAcentral.